Molecule: long non-coding RNA, 340 nt
Organism: Symphalangus syndactylus (siamang)
Lineage: Eukaryota; Metazoa; Chordata; Mammalia; Primates; Hylobatidae
Source: RefSeq, a predicted model, not a curated record
UGGCAGGGAGAGCAUAUGGCUUCUCCACAAAGGGUGAGCUGGGCUGCAGUCCACAAAAUGCCGGGUCAGAGCAAGCUGGAGAUGACUGACAGGGAGAACCCUCCUGGGCUCAGAGUGUCUCAACGCCAGGAACCUCAUUAGGACAUCUUCCCUCCGCACUGUGACUUGACACUUCUUUAUCAGAUGAUUCUGCAGGCUGGAGAGCAAUGGCGUGACCUCGGCUCACUGCAACCUCUGCCUCCCGGGUUCAAGCUAUUCUCCUGCCUCAGCCUCCGGAGUAGCUGAGAUUACAGCACUACCCGACCACCACUCUGGGCAGCAUUACCACCAUCACCAGGAC